This is a small nucleolar RNA of Lampris incognitus (smalleye Pacific opah), 131 nucleotides long. RefSeq annotates it as small nucleolar RNA SNORA44. The record is from RefSeq and is a predicted model, not a curated record. The transcript has a single exon. NCBI's taxonomy places the organism in Eukaryota, Metazoa, Chordata, Actinopteri, Lampriformes, Lampridae.
CAGCAUGCUAUCCUAAGGACCUGGGCUCUGAUUGUAGCUGCAGGUUCUCCAAGUGCAUGCCAGAAAAAAUGGGUAGUCUUUGCCUGCUAUGGCUCCUCUGCCAAUGGCAGCCACUCUACUGUCCAACAAUC